UACGGAGGGUGCAAGCGUUAUCCGGAUUCACUGGGUUUAAAGGGUGCGUAGGUGGAUCGGUAAGUCCGUGGUGAAAUCCCCGAGCUUAACUUGGGAACUGCCGUGGAUACUAUCGAUCUUGAAUACUGUGGAGGUAAGCGGAAUAUGUCAUGUAGCGGUGAAAUGCUUAGAUAUGACAUAGAACACCGAUAGCGAAGGCAGCUUGCUACACAGUUAUUGACACUGAGGCACGAAAGCGUGGGGAGCAAACAGG
RNAcentral lists this ribosomal RNA (253 nucleotides) under uncultured bacterium. RNAcentral describes it as "partial 16S ribosomal RNA". It matches the Rfam family "Bacterial small subunit ribosomal RNA", at positions 524 to 776 of the family's 1533-position model. The record is from RNAcentral.